UCUUGGACAAAUAUCAAGUAGAU
RNAcentral lists this microRNA (23 nucleotides) under Drosophila simulans. Its description in RNAcentral is "dsi-miR-982c-5p". Its record names the gene dsi-miR-982c-5p. Lineage: Eukaryota; Metazoa; Arthropoda; Insecta; Diptera; Drosophilidae. The record is from miRBase by way of RNAcentral.